This 214-nucleotide long non-coding RNA is filed under the name Capsicum annuum. Its description in RNAcentral is "long non-coding RNA (CANN_LNC004956)". The record is from RNAcentral. Lineage: Eukaryota; Viridiplantae; Streptophyta; Magnoliopsida; Solanales; Solanaceae.
UGAUUUAGAAGGUAAUGGGAAGAAGGAAGCUUCAAAGAUUCAGAUUGAUCUUGAGAUGAAACUAAAGUAUUCUAAAAAACACUUUAUGUCAGCACUUUAAAAAAAUGAAGAGUUAGAAAAGGACCUAGUCUGUUUGAAAUAAGAGCUCAACAAGUCUCUUAAAUGGACUAGUCCUUCACAAGUUCUUUCUAAUUUGACUAGUCGGGGUGUUAAU